AUGAUGUCUACAAAAAUGUUUUUUAAG
This 27-nucleotide small RNA is filed under the name Bombyx mori (domestic silkworm). RNAcentral describes it as "ovarian small RNA-12581". The record is from RNAcentral. Lineage: Eukaryota; Metazoa; Arthropoda; Insecta; Lepidoptera; Bombycidae.